AAAGCGUUUCUUAGGAGCGUUCAUAAUUAUUUUAACUUACCGAAGUGUGACAACGUCGCAAUUAGGGUGUCGAGUUCGCAGCAGGAGACCAGCUCCUCGAAGGUCAUACCGUCCACAGAGAGGGACACCGUCGAGAUGCUUCUGAAUAACGCCUCGGUGUCUAGAUCUUCGGGGAGUUUGGUGAGGAACUGAGCGGCGGUAAUGAAGUCCAUAUCUUUAAGCUCGUCCUGGUACAGGUGGAGGAUACCUGAAAGUUUAUUUUUUGUAUAUGAAUAACUAGCAGUAUGCAUCGAACAGUUUUUUAGAAAAUAAAAUAUAGACCAUGUUACGCUGAUAA
Molecule: long non-coding RNA, 337 nt
Organism: Galleria mellonella (greater wax moth)
Lineage: Eukaryota; Metazoa; Arthropoda; Insecta; Lepidoptera; Pyralidae
Exons: 2
Source: RefSeq, a predicted model, not a curated record